Molecule: ribosomal RNA, 121 nt
Filed under: Paenibacillus agri
Lineage: Bacteria; Bacillati; Bacillota; Bacilli; Caryophanales; Paenibacillaceae
Description: Paenibacillus sp. JW14 partial 23S ribosomal RNA
Rfam family: Bacterial large subunit ribosomal RNA
Source: RNAcentral
CUCAAGAUGAGAUUUCCCAAUUAGUAAGACCCCUUGAAGACGACGAGGUAGAUAGGUUGGAGGUGGAAGUGCAGUAAUGCAUGGAGCUGACCAAUACUAAUCGGUCGAGGGCUUAUCCUAU